AACUCCCAAGGUGAAAUUUACAUUGAUUGGAAGAUUCUUUGGAUAGAAUAUUCCUGCCAAAAGACAUCAGAAGGGGGACUAACUGAUGUAUGGAUUUUGACACCAGAUUUUACCCUGCACGAGCAGGCCAACUUGAGGAGAUCAGGAGUGGGAAAACCGAGCCCUGUCCUUGAUCAAGAAAAGUUGGAUUUGUUGAGAGGACCUGAUCUCAAAUGAGAUCAUGCACAAGACGCACCUCGCAAAGGCCAUGACAGUAUAGUUUUCAGACCUGAUCAGCUGGUGACUGCUCUAUGAAGUGUUGUUCAACCUACCCUAAGGGGGAGAUUCGAGAGGGUCUCCUGAUUGCUGAACACUACGCCAUGAUGUCAUCUCCAAAAAGUUUGCCCUGCCCAUAUCAACAGUGGAAGAGAAC
Dreissena polymorpha is the source of this 412-nucleotide long non-coding RNA. RefSeq lists it as uncharacterized. The transcript is spliced from 3 exons. The record is from RefSeq and is a predicted model, not a curated record. Lineage: Eukaryota; Metazoa; Mollusca; Bivalvia; Myida; Dreissenidae.